UAGUAACUGCGAGUGAAGCGGGAAAAGCUCAAAUUUUGAAUCUGGCGGUCUUCAUGGCUGUCCGAGUUGUAAUCUAGAGAAGCGUCUUCCGCGCUGGACCGUGUACAAGUCUCCUGGAAGGGAGCGUCAUGGAGGGUGAGAAUCCCGUCUCUGACACGGACUGCCAGUGCUAUGUGAUGCGCUCUCGACGAGUCGAGUUGUUUGGGAAUGCAGCUCAAAACGGGUGGUAAAUUCCAUCUAAAGCUAAAUACAGGCGAGAGACCGAUAGCGAACAAGUACCGUGAGGGAAAGAUGAAAAGAACUUUGGAAAGAGAGUUAAACAGUACGUGAAAUUGCUGAAAGGGAAACGCUUGAUGUCAGUCACGUCCGCCAGGGAUCAACCUUGCUUAUCGUUGGGUGCAUUUCUUGGUUGGAUGGGUCAGCAUCAGUUUCGAUCGUUGUAAAAUGGUCAAGGGAACGUGGCACCUCUAGGGGUGUGUUAUAGCCUUUGGUCGUAUGCAUCGGUGGGGACUGAGGAACUCGGCACGACCUUCAUGGUUUCGUGUCUAGGAUGCUGGCAUAAUGGCCUUAAGCGACCCGUCUUGAAACACGGACCAAGGAGUCUAACAUGCCUGCGAGUGUUUGGGUGGAAAACUCGAGCGCGCAAUGAAAGUGAAAGUCGAGAUCUCUGUCAUGGA
This 677-nucleotide ribosomal RNA is filed under the name Phylloporus pachycystidiatus. Its description in RNAcentral is "partial large subunit ribosomal RNA". It matches the Rfam family "Eukaryotic large subunit ribosomal RNA", at positions 81 to 754 of the family's 3401-position model. Lineage: Eukaryota; Fungi; Basidiomycota; Agaricomycetes; Boletales; Boletaceae. The record is from RNAcentral.